Long non-coding RNA from Microtus ochrogaster (prairie vole), 2347 nucleotides. RefSeq lists it as uncharacterized. The transcript has 3 exons. The record is from RefSeq and is a predicted model, not a curated record. NCBI's taxonomy places the organism in Eukaryota, Metazoa, Chordata, Mammalia, Rodentia, Cricetidae.
AAUAAAAACAAAGAAGAUUUAUUUUAAAAAAAAUGCUAUUUUGCAACACACUGGGUUGCAUUUUGAGCCCAAACAUGUUAAGAUACCUAAGUUAUGACACUACUUCCAUGGAGACCUAGCUGCUCAUAGGGAGUGGAAGUUACCAAAGAGAGAAAUGCAUGAGAAGUUGCAAGGACAGGGCCAUUUAAGCCAUUUGAAACUGAAGCCCAUACAGUUGAGAAAAGAGCUACAGGAUUUGAUGUUUGUCCUGCUCUGCUUCAGUCUUGCCUUGGUCCAAUCUUCCCUCACUGUGUCUCCAUUUUUCUCUUCCAGAAUGUUAAUGGUAUUUUGUGCCAUUGUAUGUUGGGAGUAUGUAACUUGCUCUCAGAAUGUAGAAGAUGUUACAGUCUCAGAAUUUAUAAAAUGUUACUGUCAAGAGAUUGUCUUCUGUCCCAGAGGAGUCUUUGUACUUUUAGAUAGUAGCAGAUGGGGAUCAUUGCAUGAGAAUCAUUGCAGAGACUGAAUACACUUUUUCAUUGUUGACCAUGAACCAAUAGAGACCGGGGUCAGAGUGUACUUCACUGAAUGAACAACCUCCCAGAGAAGAUCAUGUACUUGAACAAGUUUCUCUCCUUGGUGGUCUUUCUUUCAAUUUCCUAUGAACAUUUAGUAGGAAAGGCCUUUCUAGAUGAAAUGCCUCACUGUAUGUGAUGAGUAUCAAUAUCCUUAACUAAUUUUCUGACCUUUAUAUCUACUGUGUUGUUGUUGAUAUUAAUCAGUCAGCUUCCCACUCAUACUGAAAUGCUUUUACCAUCAUUAUAGGGCUGAUCUAUAAAUCACAUAAAAUGUAGAAGAAACAGUUGCUGUUCAGUGCUAAGUAAUUUGUUAGCAGUUUUAGUUGUUUGGUUUGCUUGUCUGAGUAAUCUUUGCUGUGUGGCUCCAAAUUCCUGAAAGUAAAGGUAGGGGGGCUUCAUUCAUGGCUUUUUGUUUUUUGUUAUUGGGUGAUGACCCUGGAAUGUAGGCUUUUUACAUGUCAAGCAUAUGCUGCUGUGAUCAGCUUCACACAUAUCUUGAAUUUUAAAUUUGAGAGAGGGUUUCAUUCUGAUUCCAAGGAUACCAUUUAUUCAUGACAUUAAUACUGCCUGAGCAUUCUGAGUCAUUGAAAUGCAGGUACAUGAAUGUCUUCCUGCUUGUUAUACUUGCUUUUAAUUUUUUACUCAAUAUGACUAUUUUAUGUGUCUGCAUGGAUAUGCACCAUAUGGAUACCUGGUCAUCAGAAUGAUCAAAGCAUCUCAGAAUCCUGAACUUGGAAUAAUAAAUAGUUGCAAUCCCCAUAUAAGUACUGGCGUUUGUGCCCACCUCUAUUCAAGACCAGGAAGAGCUCAGUAGUACUCAGCCAUAUUUCCAGACCUGUGUUAAUUAGUUAUGUCCAAUAUUUAUAUUGCUAAUGUUUUCAUCUGUCCAUUUCUAAUUAUUUUAAAAAAUGUAGCUCCUUUUCAUAAAAUGUUAUUGGUAUUACAGAUUAAAAUAAGACACUUGUGAUGUCUGGCAUAUGAAUACAGAUCUGGAGUGAAUGCAUAAUUCUUUGUAGGAACUUCAGUGCACAGCUGUGAAUACUUUAUAUCUGAUUUUUAUUCACUGAUUUUUGCGAUGGAGACAGGGUCUUAAUGUGUACUUCCACCUGUCCUGGACAUGAUUCCAUAGACUUGGCUGGCAUUCAGCUCAGAGACAAAUAUAUAUAUACCUCUGCUUUCUGAGUGCUGAGCUUAAAGGCAUGAGUCAAUACACCCAGUUUGUCCCCUGUAUUUUUCUUUUUUGUAAUUAGUAUUUUUUCAUACAAUUUUCUCAUGUGUACUAUAUCAUGUUGAUAUGUUUCCUUAGCUCUCCCUAGUAAUAGACAGUUCUUUUAUGAGGUGAUAUCCCAUUCAAAGGGUACAGAAAUGACAGAGGUGACUCUCCUAUUCAAUUUCCUUCUAAAGUGUCAUGGAAUAAGAGUGGGGAACACCAGAAUUUUAUGACUAUACAGUCAAAGAAGUGUACAUUUACAAUAUUGUCACUAUCAGUACAUUUACAAUAUUGUCACUAUCAUGUCACUAUCAUAUAUGGCAUAUUUUAGAAGGCAGUGACCUAUGAUGAUGUGCAUAUCCAUUUCACUGAGGAAGAGUGGAAUUUGCUGAAUCCUUCCCAGAAGAAUCUCUACAAAGAUGUGAUGCUGGAGACCUACAGGAACCUCACUACUAUAGGAUGCAUUUGGGAAGAUCAUAAUAGUGAAGAACAUUGUCAAUGUUCUAGAAGACAUGAAAGGAUUGAAAGAAUUCAAACUGGAGAGAAGAAACUUUCAAUAUAUAUUCAAUGUGGUAAACCCUUG